AAUGGGAAACACAACACCGCGGGGAGCCAAUGAGAACCCAGAAGGAGAAAUAAGAGACGGAGGAAAUUUCCCAAGGGUGCCUUCGGGCAUGCAUGGAGUGAAGAAGCGGAGGCGAGGAGUCUCAUACAGCGAGGCUACGACAGGGAUUGAAACUCCCCUCCCCUCCCCUCCCGCAACUGGAAGACGGGAUCGCAGCGCUUAGGAAGCUGACACUCACCUGAGAAACAGGCUCCAGGGUGGAACACCGAGCAGGGAAAAGAAGUGGAAAUGUAGAUCUCCUAUCACGUCCAGGUAUGGUCCGGGUAAAGAUGCAGCAACGACUAAGCAGGACACCGGAAAGUCAUGCACCAAGUCCGGGUCUCCAAACGGGAGCAAGAUGCAUUGGAAAAAAAGAUGAGCACAGGAUAACAUAGAGAACACCUAGCCUUCAAGGAAAGACCAAGACAAAAAUUCAGGAGAAGAGUUAUUCAAGUAACUGAAUAAGGAUGUGGCAACCAUCAACCCUCCUGGAGCAUGGUGCAUGUAUGAGGGCCACCCAGACCUUUGAUGUGUAUG
Molecule: long non-coding RNA, 555 nt
Organism: Alligator sinensis (Chinese alligator)
Lineage: Eukaryota; Metazoa; Chordata; Crocodylia; Alligatoridae
Exons: 3
Source: RefSeq, a predicted model, not a curated record